Long non-coding RNA from Salvia miltiorrhiza (redroot sage), 778 nucleotides. RefSeq lists it as uncharacterized. Lineage: Eukaryota; Viridiplantae; Streptophyta; Magnoliopsida; Lamiales; Lamiaceae. The transcript has 2 exons. The record is from RefSeq and is a predicted model, not a curated record.
AUAUUGAAAGUUGGGACUAUUUAUUUUAAAUGAAGUCCGUUUUUUUAUAUUUAAAUUUAUUGAUGGACUUUAAAAGAAAUAUUUUGGGAUUAAGCCCUCAUUUAUUAUAAUACCUCAAGGCUUUAUGAGUAUGGAUUUUUAAAAGGAUUAAAAUGGUUUAUUUAAGUUAUUUGUAAACGAAUAAUGGUGCAUGAUUUUUAUCUCUUAUGUGAGCGUGUGAUUUUAAAUGAUAUUAAGUUUAAGGAUAUUAAUUUCUUUUAUCUUGUUUGUUAUGUGAUUUACGUGAGGUCAUGAUUAGUCAAGUUAUGUUGGUUUUCAAUUGUCUUAAUGGAACGAACUAUGGAUGCUAGAACCCUAAAACUUUAAAAGAUACCCUAGGCACGUAGAAUUAGACUUUGUCUUAUGACAAUUUCUUCACGAACUUAUCGAUUCUUCAUCAAUGAAGGUUCGGGCGACAGAAAGUGAAGCCGAAGAAGUAGCAACUCCACGCCAGCUUUAAGAACGUUUAAGGUUGAGCAGGCGAUGGAAUGGUUUGGUGUUGAGCGGGAAUUCUUUUGAUGGAUAUGUAAUGAAACCUUGAGUAUGCAUCUCCAUAUGCAUAACUCACACGUUUUUCCGCUGCAAACACUCUGAAUUCGUUAUCGUAUUGUGGAACUUAUUACUCUUUCAUUUUGCUAAACUUUCACUUGUUCUAGUUGUUGUGGCAUAAUCGUCUGUAAAUUACCCAACCAGUUAUUUAUGUAUUUCUAGUUGGUUGAUUAAAUAUUAUCUCUUUGGA